Amphiprion ocellaris (clown anemonefish) is the source of this 1330-nucleotide long non-coding RNA. RefSeq lists it as uncharacterized. The record is from RefSeq and is a predicted model, not a curated record. Lineage: Eukaryota; Metazoa; Chordata; Actinopteri; Pomacentridae. The transcript is spliced from 3 exons.
UUCCGGGUACGAGGACGCUGUCUCCGCCCACUAGAGUGACGUCACAUCCAAGCCACCUGAGCACCGAGACCAUAGACUCCUGCAGCUCCGGCGCCCUCUGCUGGUGUGGGACUUCUCCUCCAGCGGCAGUUUGCUCCUCUUCAGCUGCAUACUGUCAGGCAUCUGGUGGUUGGGAUUGUGGUGACAACGGAUACUGAGCCCAAAGAGCUUGCGAGCGGUGCGCUGGAUCUUGAGGCGCUGGAUCUCCAGGGAACUCUGAAGGAGCCUGUAGCGGGACUGCAGGUCCCAGUCACUACCCCACAGAAGGUGCACGCUGCUGAUCGGCAGGAAAUGAGUGGAGGGCAGCCUCUUCAGGAAGGACUUGAACUCGUCUGGAUGGCAGAAAGAGAUGGGGCCUGCUGCUGAGAAGAAUCCCACAUCAUGAUGCUGCCACCACCAUGCUUCAUGGUCAGGAUGAUGUGUCUGUGAUGGUGUUUAGUGUUUGGUGUCCACCAAAUAUAGUGUCCAGUCAGGUGGCCACAAAACUCAGUUUUAGUCUCUUCAGACCAAACAAUCUUCCAUUUGGCUUCACAGUUUUACACAUGCCAUCUGGCCAACUCUAGUCAAGAUUUAAUUUGAGCUUUUCUCAACCGUGGCUUCAUCUUCAACAGUCUACCAUAAAGUUUUGACUGGUGAAAAAUAAGCAACAGUUGUUGUGUUCACAGUGUCUUCCUUCUCAGCUGGAAUUCCUUCAGAGGAGUCACAGGUGUCUUGGUGGCCUUCCUCACAAGUCUCUUUUGGUACAGUUGCUCAGUUUUUGAGGACAAUCUGUUCUAGGCAGAUUUAUACAUGUGCCAUAUUCCUUCCAUUUCUUCAUGAUGGAUUUAACUGUAAUCCAAAGGAUAUUAGAUGAAUUAGAGAUUGUCUGGUAUUUCUCCCCUGACUUGUGUUUUUUCAUAAACAGAGUUGCUAGGAGUGUUCUUUUGUCUUCAUGGCGUAGUUAUAGCCAGCAGUACUGAUUCACCAGUUCCUUGACCUUCCAUAUACAGAUACUCUAACAUUACAAUCACUUGAGACACAUUCACUGCAUUCAGAUGAUCUCCAUUUCACUAAUUGUGCAACUUAUUAGGUACUUAUUAGUACCUCUGUUGUAUAAGGUGAGUCACUUUAAAGGAGGUAAAUACUUAAACAACAGUUUAUUUUACAUUUUGUGUUUUUAGUUCAUUGCCAUUACUUUGUAUAAAACUGUUUUCACUUUGACAUGUAGGAGUCUUUAUGUGUGAAAUCUUGAUAAAAGAGCCUAGUUAAACUGAAUAUGUUGAAUAGUAAUAAAAGCAGAUUGUGAGUGGUA